AGAGUUUGAUCAUGGCUCAGAUUGAACGCUGGCGGCAGGCCUAACACAUGCAAGUCGAGCGGAAACGAGUUAUCUGAACCUUCGGGGAACGAUAACGGCGUCGAGCGGCGGACGGGUGAGUAAUGCCUAGGAAAUUGCCCUGAUGUGGGGGAUAACCAUUGGAAACGAUGGCUAAUACCGCAUGAUGCCUACGGGCCAAAGAGGGGGACCUUCGGGCCUCUCGCGUCAGGAUAUGCCUAGGUGGGAUUAGCUAGUUGGUGAGGUAAGGGCUCACCAAGGCGACGAUCCCUAGCUGGUCUGAGAGGAUGAUCAGCCACACUGGAACUGAGACACGGUCCAGACUCCUACGGGAGGCAGCAGUGGGGAAUAUUGCACAAUGGGCGCAAGCCUGAUGCAGCCAUGCCGCGUGUAUGAAGAAGGCCUUCGGGUUGUAAAGUACUUUCAGUCGUGAGGAAGGCGGCGUCGUUAAUAGCGGGGUUGUUUGACGUUAGCGACAGAAGAAGCACCGGCUAACUCCGUGCCAGCAGCCGCGGUAAUACGGAGGGUGCGAGCGUUAAUCGGAAUUACUGGGCGUAAAGCGCAUGCAGGUGGUUUGUUAAGUCAGAUGUGAAAGCCCGGGGCUCAACCUCGGAAUAGCAUUUGAAACUGGCAGACUAGAGUACUGUAGAGG
RNAcentral lists this ribosomal RNA (670 nucleotides) under Vibrio sp. Its description in RNAcentral is "bacterial SSU rRNA". It matches the Rfam family "Bacterial small subunit ribosomal RNA", at positions 8 to 657 of the family's 1533-position model. Lineage: Bacteria; Pseudomonadati; Pseudomonadota; Gammaproteobacteria; Vibrionales; Vibrionaceae. The record is from RNAcentral.